Molecule: long non-coding RNA, 849 nt
Organism: Fopius arisanus
Lineage: Eukaryota; Metazoa; Arthropoda; Insecta; Hymenoptera; Braconidae
Exons: 2
Source: RefSeq, a predicted model, not a curated record
UUCUCGUUGUAUUUUCGUGUCUCUCAAAGUCGCAGCAGAGCCACAGCGUAAUUUCACCCUGUGAAAUCUCCUGAGAGGUGCAACAAUUCACCUAAAAUCAUCAAAAUCCAAAUAAUAAAAAUAACAAUGAGACGAUAAAAAGUAAUUGUCUUGUUCGACCUGUACAUACAAUACAUACGCAUGAGAUAACGACUGAUUCAGAAUCUAUUUUUAGACAUGUUAUAAUGGCACGUCUGCAUCGACUCAUAGUUUCAGAAUUGUCGCAGAGAAAACUGACCCAGAGAUUCUCAACAGAAAUGGGAGAAAAAUAUUUAAUAAAAAUAAUGGAACGCACAACUCGCUGACCGAUGGCGGAAGUGACUCAGAUAAUUUAAGCGGCGAUAUCGUAAUUUUUCGCAGGAAAUGCAGAAAAAAAUUGUAGAAAACUUGGAAAAAAACGAUGUGACACUUCGCAAAAUGCAAUCAAUUAUAGAAAAGAUACGCCAUUUCUAGUGAAUAUUUCUCUCCGUGAUAAUUAAUUGCUUGCGAUCCAUUUAAAAAUGUGUCUCAUAAUUAUGAAGGUAUCCACGGUAAUUAACAAUAUUUGUUAUAAUCGCACGAUAUAAUAAUGAAGUUAAACAAUUGUAGGGCCUAUUUAAUGCACAACUUGCGUAUUUUAGAUUAAUAAAAUUCGAUUUGAAUUGGAAAACUGUUCAAUGGGUACCUAUUUUAUAGCUCAUGCUUAUAUAGGGCAUGAAUAUAAAAAAUGACCUCCGACGAAAUGGGUAAAUCUUGUAUUCCCUGGUGAAACGAAACCGAUGUCCUGCGUUAGGAGCAGGAGAAAAAUAAUGGCCGCCUGUCAAAAAGUCC